This 77-nucleotide transfer RNA is filed under the name Deltaproteobacteria bacterium. RNAcentral describes it as "tRNA-Asp". It matches the Rfam family "tRNA". From Rfam's summary of the family: Transfer RNA (tRNA) molecules are approximately 80 nucleotides in length. Their secondary structure includes four short double-helical elements and three loops (D, anti-codon, and T loops). Further hydrogen bonds mediate the characteristic L-shaped molecular structure. tRNAs have two regions of fundamental functional importance: the anti-codon, which is responsible for specific mRNA codon recognition, and the 3' end, to which the tRNAs corresponding amino acid is attached (by aminoacyl-tRNA synthetases). tRNAs cope with the degeneracy of the genetic code in two manners: having more than one tRNA (with a specific anti-codon) for a particular amino acid; and 'wobble' base-pairing, i.e. permitting non-standard base-pairing at the 3rd anti-codon position. Lineage: Bacteria; Pseudomonadati; Myxococcota; Myxococcia. The record is from RNAcentral. RNAcentral also lists the same sequence under 2 other names.
GGGGGUGUAGUUGAGUUGGUUACAACGCCGCCCUGUCACGGCGGAGGCCGCGGGUUCGAGUCCCGUCACUCCCGCCA